RNAcentral lists this ribosomal RNA (253 nucleotides) under uncultured bacterium. Its description in RNAcentral is "partial 16S ribosomal RNA". It matches the Rfam family "Bacterial small subunit ribosomal RNA", at positions 524 to 776 of the family's 1533-position model. The record is from RNAcentral.
UACGUAGGGAGCAAGCGUUGUCCGGAAUCAUUGGGCGUAAAGCGCGCGUAGGCGGCCCGGUAAGUCCGCUGUAAAAGUCAAAGGCUCAACCUUUGAAUGUCAGUGGAUACUGCCGGGCUAGAGUCCGGAAGAGGCGAGUGGAACUCCUGGUGUAGCGGUGGAAUGCGCAGAUAUCAGGAAGAACACCAACGGCGAAGGCAGCUCGCUGGGACGGAACUGACGCUAAGACGCGAAAGCGUGGGGAGCGAACAGG